Cyprinus carpio carpio is the source of this 555-nucleotide long non-coding RNA. Lineage: Eukaryota; Metazoa; Chordata; Actinopteri; Cypriniformes; Cyprinidae. The record is from Ensembl.
GUCAGACAUAACAAAAUGAGUAAUUUUCUGAGUCAUUGUGUCAGCAUUCCUUAACACUGUAACAAUUUUUCUGCUUAAUCAUAAUGCAAUUAGUGCUUUUUUGUGCCACAGCUUGAUAUCAUCAGAAUUUAGGCCUCAUAAGCCCAUCAUUUUGAAACUCCAUUAUGCGGAGACUACCAAAAUUGUUGUUCUACUCACAACUACUCGUUUUAAUCUCUUGAAAGUUUCUGUACAAAACUGUAUUAACUGCCGUAUUAAAUGUGUUUAUCAUUUGACACAGGACUGGCACAAGGUGGGCAGGAGGAUUUUGACAAAGACAUUGGCACCCAGAUGGAGCCUCAGGUUGUCCAUGUGAUUCUCUGGCAUGCCUAGUGGCAUCUUGGGAACCUUCUUAAUCUGGAGCAGAAAAAAAUCCAAGCAUGAGCACCUGUAAAUCUUCCUCACUGCACAACUUAUGAUGGAUAGGAGGCCUUAAUGAGCUUCUUACAAGCAAUUAAAUAAUCAGGGAGCCCUGCUGUUUGCCGAUGAGGCUUUAGAGAGCGCUGACAAACGGUG